Long non-coding RNA from Salvelinus fontinalis (brook trout), 472 nucleotides. RefSeq lists it as uncharacterized. The transcript is spliced from 2 exons. Lineage: Eukaryota; Metazoa; Chordata; Actinopteri; Salmoniformes; Salmonidae. The record is from RefSeq and is a predicted model, not a curated record.
UGUAAUAUGUAUCAAUGUGUUCAAGGAUGGGCUUAGGCAGUGCCAAGCACCAAGCUUUAUUCCCAUUCAGGGCCUCCCUUCAGAUGUGAGCUGAAUUAGAAUGUGAUGCUUGGCUUGAUGCAACUACGGAAUAUCACCUUCCAACAGCAACAAGAGGGGUCUAGUCAGUUUUUGAAUUGUCUUUUACAAUACCACUGGAUUCAGAACAGCCGGAGAAGCUGUGUGUCUUGGCACAACAAGAGAACAAACUAAGGAUAAUGAUGAUAAAGGGGCAUCAAAGAUGCAGAUGAAUAUGAUGAGCAGUAUGAGGAAGACCAACGCUGCUAUCACACAGGCUAUGAUGAUCUGCCGCUGGUCUCCUAUACGCCAGGCCAAAUCAACAUACUCACACCUGGACCCAAUGUACCCCUUUUCACAUCUGAGACAGAGCAAACACACAAUUCACCUGCUGUGAUUAAAAUGUGCUCAACAA